AAGGGGAAAAGCGAAGGCCGCCCGCCUAUCGGCGAAACGCGCUGGAGGGCCUGCGAGGAGGCUGUUGCCGCCGCAGCAGGACCGAAGCGUCGCGAGCCGAUGGCGGCCGGAGCUAGACAGUACGAAAAGCGAAGGCCGCAAUGGCCAACUGUCGAUACACCGCGCUUUCGUUUCGUUCGGUUUUGAGGGAAUGAAAAAUUCCUUCACUUGUUUUGCGCCUGCGUCUUCUAGCAGAUUCAAGGAAGAUGGAUUCCUCGGCGCAAAGCUGCAAGGAAGCAGACUCAAGGCAGUCGCUUCGUUCAGUUUUGAAGGAAUGAGAAAUUCCUUCAAAAGCGCCUGUGCCUGCGUCUGCUAGCAGGUUCGGGGGAGCAAGAUUCCUCGGCACAAAGCUGCAAAGAAGCAGACUCAAGGCAGCAGCUUCGUUCCUUGAAAACUAGAUAACCGGAAAAGCGGAGGCGAGCGUUUCGCCGCGAUGGGCAAAUGUUCUUCGCCUGCAAGGGUGCUUGCACCCGGAAGGCGAAGGUUAUUUGACCCCGAGCGGCGGCGUGCCGAAGCUAGACAGUAAGGAAGAAGCCGAGAGCGCUGUA
This 587-nucleotide unclassified non-coding RNA is filed under the name Geobacillus stearothermophilus. Its description in RNAcentral is "16S-23S ribosomal RNA intergenic spacer". Lineage: Bacteria; Bacillati; Bacillota; Bacilli; Caryophanales; Anoxybacillaceae. The record is from RNAcentral.